AAUAAAGAUCUUUCUUUCAUAACUUAUGUUGAAUGUACUAAAUGUGAGAAACUUGAGUCAAACACAAAUAGGGUUCUAAUUUGAAUUGACAAUUGCAUAACACCCUUUUUUCUUUCAUGAGUUCAUAAUUUUCUUCGAUCGUACAUUCUAGAACUUGAUUUGUGACCGUUUCAAGAUUGAAGUAUGUCUAUAUGCAUUAAAAUGAUAGAGGCCAUUAAGACUUUUCUUUUUUACCUUCAACCGCUUGCUAUAAACAUUGAAAACUCAUUACUUGCCCACUUUUGAGCCUGAACUUUAAUGAUUUUUCAUAGCUACUCAAAUGAGGGUUUGUGGUAAUUUAUAAUGUUUGGUUGAAGCAAUGAGAAGGGUAAAAAGGUCAUGUGUGAUGAAAGAAUCCAUAAAAAUGUGAAGAAGAAAAAAAAUAAAUUAAUUUCAUCCCUUCUCUUUUAGAAAAUCUCAAAAAAAGGAAAAAGGAAAAAGAAAAAGGAAAUACAAAUUAUACUAAAAAAGAAUGGACUGGAAAAAAAUGUGUUGAAAGGAGAAAAAUUAUUUGAAAAAAGAUCGUAUGAUAGAGUAAGACCUAUUAAGAGAAUCUCAAUGCUUCAAUUAGAUGUCUAAAAUGUUUAAGUAUUUUGGGAAACAUUUGUAAACAUUUUAAAUUACCUUUUCUUUAACUAUCCCACCUUAAAGCAUUCACCUUGGCCACAUUACAAUCAUUUAAAGACCUUUUAAUUUUUGCAUACAUUCAAAUAUAGUCAGUAGCGAUUUGGUCUAUAAUCAAGCCUAUGGUAAUUUAAUUUCAUAAUAUUUUUUGAGCGAAACAUUAUGACAUUUAAACACAUGAGAGUGAUGAGAUAAGAGUGACCAUAAUUCAUGUAGUUGUUAUUACUCAAGGACUUAGCUUGAAUUAAAUUAUUUUAUGAUUGACUUGUCUUGAUUUCUGGAUUGUUUUAAAAUUAACAUGAAAUUGCUUGUUAUCUUGGGUCAUAGUUUCUAUAUCAUCAUUCAUACAUGAUUCUAAAAGUUAAACAUAAUACUUGCUAGAGGACAAGCAAGAGAUAAGCUUGAGGGGAUUUAAUGAGUGUAAAAUUAUGCUACAUUUGCAUUGCAUUUAACUUGCAUUUUAGGAUAUAAUUAGGACUCUAGGAUUGCUUUUAGCUUUUAUUUCUAUUUGUUCGGGUUGAGCGGGUGUUUUUGGCAAUGUUGUGCAGUUUGGAUGGAUUAAAGCCAAAAAGAGUAGAGAUUGUGUGCAAGAAGAUGAAAUUCAGUGUUGAGGCUAUACAAACAGCAAUUGAAGGGGCA
This 1302-nucleotide long non-coding RNA is filed under the name Lupinus angustifolius (narrow-leaved blue lupine). RNAcentral describes it as "long non-coding RNA (LANG_LNC002648)". Lineage: Eukaryota; Viridiplantae; Streptophyta; Magnoliopsida; Fabales; Fabaceae. The record is from RNAcentral.